UCUCCGCAAAGUUCCUCUGCGGUGGGACUUAAGGAUCUGGGUCCAGAAAGCGCACCCUCCAGGUCUAGUUUUUGGGUACAGCUGUGCCCACAGCCUGGCCUGGCCUGACCCUCACAGUUGCCCCACAGACUAAAUAACAGGACACCCAAAAUCUAGCUGCUCAAGUUUGCAUUGCAUUCCUAUUUUCCCUUCCUUCCAAUAUAGGUAGGAAAGCCUUACUGGUUAAUAACGAUAAUGAUAAUUUUAUUAUUUAUAUCCUGCCUAUCUGACUGGCUUGCCCCAGUCUCUCUGGGUGGCUUCAAACAUAUAUAAAGACAUAAUAAAACAUCAAACACCAAAAACUUCCCAAUGCAGGGCUGCCUUCAGAUUUUCUUCUAAAGGUUAUAUAGUUACUCAUCUCCUUGACACCCGAUGGGAGGGCGUUCCACAGGGUGGGUGCCACUACCGAGAAGGCCCUCUGUAAAUAAUUAUUGCGCCUUUUCCUCCAAGGAGUUCCAGGCAGCGUAUAUGGCUCUGCUCCUCAUUAAUCCCCACACCAACCCCCUUGCGAGGCAGAUCAGGCUGAGACGCAGGGGCUGGCCCCUCAAGGUCACCCAGGGAGCUUCCGGGCUGAGUGGGGAUUUGAACCCCGGUCACUGAGGUCAUAGUCUGACACUCUGACCACUACACCACCCUGCCUUUACGAUCAGCCCUGGUCGCCAACCUUUUUGGGACUGGUGGGCACAUUUUGAAUGUUGAGAAAGUGCUGUGGGCUUCCACGGGGAGCGUGGUGUGGCAUAAUGCAAAA
Molecule: long non-coding RNA, 787 nt
Organism: Podarcis raffonei (Aeolian wall lizard)
Lineage: Eukaryota; Metazoa; Chordata; Lepidosauria; Squamata; Lacertidae
Exons: 2
Source: RefSeq, a predicted model, not a curated record